This 653-nucleotide ribosomal RNA is filed under the name uncultured bacterium. RNAcentral's name for it is "bacterial SSU rRNA". It matches the Rfam family "Bacterial small subunit ribosomal RNA", at positions 100 to 750 of the family's 1533-position model. The record is from RNAcentral.
GACGGGUGAGUAAUGCAUCGGAACGUGCCCUGAAGUGGGGGAUAACGCAGCGAAAGCUACGCUAAUACCGCAUAUUCUGUGAGCAGGAAAGCAGGGGAUCGCAAGACCUUGCGCUUUGGGAGCGGCCGAUGUCGGAUUAGCUAGUUGGUGGGGUAAAGGCCUACCAAGGCGACGAUCCGUAGCGGGUCUGAGAGGAUGAUCCGCCACACUGGGACUGAGACACGGCCCACACUCCUACGGGAGGCAGCAGUGGGGAAUUUUGGACAAUGGGCGGAAGCCUGAUCCAGCCAUGCCGCGUGAGUGAAGAAGGCCUUCGGGUUGUAAAGCUCUUUCGGCGGGGAAGAAAUUGCUUGGGUUAAUACCCUGAGUAGAUGACGGUACCCGAAUAAGAAGCACCGGCUAACUACGUGCCAGCAGCCGCGGUAAUACGUAGGGUGCGAGCGUUAAUCGGAAUUACUGGGCGUAAAGCGUGCGCAGGCGGUUUUGUAAGUCAGAUGUGAAAUCCCCGGGCUCAACCUGGGAACUGCAUUUGAGACUGCAAGACUGGAGUUUGGCAGACGGGGGUGGAGUUCCACGUGUAGCAGUGAAAUGCGUACAGAUGUGGAGGAACACCGAUGGCGAAGGCAGCCCCCGGGGCCAAUACUGACGCUCAU